This 574-nucleotide ribosomal RNA is filed under the name uncultured fungus. RNAcentral's name for it is "eukaryotic LSU rRNA". It matches the Rfam family "Eukaryotic large subunit ribosomal RNA", at positions 55 to 652 of the family's 3401-position model. Lineage: Eukaryota; Fungi. The record is from RNAcentral.
GGAAAAGAAACCAACAGGGAUUGCCCUAGUAACGGCGAGUGAAGCGGCAACUAAUUUGAAAUCUGGCUCCUUCGGGGUCCGAGUUGUAAUUUGCAGAGGAUGCCUCGGGUGCGGGUGCCUUCCGAGUUCCCUGGAACGGGACGCCAUAGAGGGUGAGAGCCCCGUCUGGUCGGACGCCCAGCCCGUGUGAGGCUCCCUCGACGAGUCGAGUAGUUUGGGAAUGCUGCUCUAAGGGGAGGUAUACUCCUUCCAAGGCUAAAUACCGGCUAGAGACCGAUAGCGCACAAGUAGAGUGAUCGAAAGAUGAAAAGCACUUUGAAAAGAGAGUCAAACAGCACGUGAAAUUGUUGAAAGGGAAGCGCUUACUACCAGACUUGGGCUCGGCGGUUCAACCGGCGCCACGCGCCGGGGCACUCCGCCGGCCCAGGCCAGCAUCAGCUCUCCGUCGGGGGCAAAGGCGUCGGGAAUGUAGCUCCCCCUCGGGGGAGUGUUAUAGCCCGGCGUGUCAUACCCUUCGGGGGGCUAGGUACGCGCUUCUGCAAGAAUGCUGGCGUAAUGGUAGCUAGUGACCCGU